UGGGGAAUUUUGGACAAUGGGCGAAAGCCUGAUCCAGCAAUGCCGCGUGUGUGAAGAAGGCCUUCGGGUUGUAAAGCACUUUUGUCCGGAAAGAAAUCCUUGGCUCUAAUACAGUCGGGGGAUGACGGUACCGGAAGAAUAAGCACCGGCUAACUACGUGCCAGCAGCCGCGGUAAUACGUAGGGUGCAAGCGUUAAUCGGAAUUACUGGGCGUAAAGCGUGCGCAGGCGGUUUGCUAAGACCGAUGUGAAAUCCCCGGGCUCAACCUGGGAACUGCAUUGGUGACUGGCAGGCUAGAGUAUGGCAGAGGGGGGUAGAAUUCCACGUGUAGCAGUGAAAUGCGUAGAGAUGUGGAGGAAUACCGAUGGCGAAAGGCAGCCCCCCUGGGCCAAAUACUGACGCUCAUGCACGAAAGCGUGGGGAGCAAAACAGGAUUAGAUACCCUGGGUAGUCCACGCCCUAAAACGAUGUCAACUAGUUGUUGGGGAUUCAUUUCCUUAGUAACGUAGCUAACGCGUGAAGUUGACCGCCUGGGGAGUACGGUCGCAAGAUUAAAACUCAAAGGAAUUGACGGGGUCAUAGCUG
RNAcentral lists this ribosomal RNA (585 nucleotides) under uncultured bacterium. RNAcentral describes it as "partial 16S ribosomal RNA". It matches the Rfam family "Bacterial small subunit ribosomal RNA", at positions 355 to 932 of the family's 1533-position model. The record is from RNAcentral.